RNAcentral lists this long non-coding RNA (529 nucleotides) under Struthio camelus australis. RNAcentral describes it as "lncRNA (ENSSCUG00000011576.1)". The record is from RNAcentral. Lineage: Eukaryota; Metazoa; Chordata; Aves; Struthioniformes; Struthionidae.
UUAUCUGAUUUAAACCAGAACACCAGAAAACAAAUUCUGUUAUCAUAUAGCAAAAAUGGCCUUAGCACAGAUACUAAAUACAUAAAUAAAAUGUUGACCUGAAUAAAACGAAUUGCUGUAACUAUUUUAGUUAAAGGAUUCUUUUAUGUGACCAAUGAAUAUCUUGAAAUAGCAGAUGAUCUCAUUAUACCUAAUUACAUAAUAUCUUUAUGCCCCCACCUCUGGGUUUAGAAGCUGCAGAUAUCUGAAUCAGCCUGUGGUCCACCAGGUGCCUGAGACCUGAUUACCUUAAUUUUCAGGAAUGAUUUAAGCCAUGAAGUGGAAGCUCAGUUAACCAGAAGAGAAAAUGGCCACUUGUGAGGAAAAUGAAGCAAUACGUAAGUGCAGAGUGGACUGUAAAAAAAGGCUUUGGCAAAUAGAAGAAAAUGUGGAAAACCGGGAAGAGCCUGCUUAUAGAGAUGAACAAGGUCUGUGAUAAUUUUAAGUGACGGCUUUUUGGCUUGUGUUGGCAUGAGUGUUACCAUGUUUU